UACGUAGGGUGCGAGCGUUAAUCGGAAUUACUGGGCGUAAAGCGUGCGCAGGCGGUUUUGUAAGCCAGAUGUGAAAUCCCCGGGCUUAACCUGGGAAUGGCAUUUGGGACUGCAAGGCUGGAGUGUGGCAGAGGAGACUGGAAUUCCUGGUGUAGCAGUGAAAUUCGUAGAUAUCGGGAGGAACACCGGUGGCGAAGGCGGCGACCUGGGUCGAGACUGACGCUGAGGCGCGAAAGCGUGGGGAGCAAACAGG
This 253-nucleotide ribosomal RNA is filed under the name uncultured bacterium. Its description in RNAcentral is "partial 16S ribosomal RNA". It matches the Rfam family "Bacterial small subunit ribosomal RNA", at positions 524 to 776 of the family's 1533-position model. The record is from RNAcentral.